AUGUACGGAUGUGUGUUUCUAUUUAUCAGAGAAAGUAAUGUUGAUGACAUAGUAAAUGAAGAGCAAAAGUUAAUAAGUACUUACGAAUUAGUGAAGCAAGAAGAAUAUUAUAAUGCAAUGAUAAGAGAAAAAGAAAAGUGGCAAAAUGAAAAUAAAAAUAAACAAAAAAAUAUAAACAAAGAAACAGCUGUUUCUGAUGCUUCAUUUUUCAACGAAUUAGAAAAAACUAGUAGCAUUAUAACUAUUAAAGAUAUUAAUGAAUGUGAGGAUUAUACAGACAUUCAAACGCUUGAUUCAUUCAUUAAUGAAAAAAAUAAAAUUGACGGAACACAUGUCGGAAGAGGCUUAAAUUUUUUAAAUGGAAACGAAAAAAAAAAAUUCAUUAAAACAGUAUGA
RNAcentral lists this long non-coding RNA (396 nucleotides) under Piliocolobus tephrosceles (Ugandan red Colobus). RNAcentral's name for it is "lncRNA (ENSPTEG00000013676.1)". Lineage: Eukaryota; Metazoa; Chordata; Mammalia; Primates; Cercopithecidae. The record is from RNAcentral.